This is a long non-coding RNA of Triticum aestivum (bread wheat), 3395 nucleotides long. RefSeq lists it as uncharacterized. The record is from RefSeq and is a predicted model, not a curated record. NCBI's taxonomy places the organism in Eukaryota, Viridiplantae, Streptophyta, Magnoliopsida, Poales, Poaceae. The transcript is spliced from 3 exons.
CCCCCCCCCCCCCCCCCCCCCCCGCGCGCUUCCCCCCUCCUCGCCGCCGCCCAUUAGCCUCCGCCGGGCAAAGCCCUGCGCGGAUCCGGCGGCGGCAGGGCUCUGGCGCGCCGGAGCGGCCCGACUGCGAGCGGGGACUCGUGCGGCAGCGGCGGCGCGGCGCUCCUCCGCGCGCGCCGUUCGUGCUCCGUGGCGGUGGAAGGGCGGCCGUGCUUGCGGCGGGGGGUGGGCGUCCCGUGCUCCGGCCAUCUUUGGCCCGCGCGAUGCGCUUCGCCUCCCAAUCCGGCGGGUUGGGCCGCUGCCUGCGGUGCCUCAUGGCGUUCAUGGCGGCUGGUCGUUCCCCCGGCCGUGAGGGCGGCGUGGGGCUGCGGCGGAGCCAUCUGCCUCGGCUUGGACGGCCGCGGCGGGCCUGGGCGUGUGCUGUCUUCUGCGAUGGAUCUGCCGAUUCCUGCUCUCUCCGGUGAGCUGGACCUCGGGAUGGGUGUGGUGAGUGCGCUAGGCUUCUACGCACGAGGUGUGCGGCGAACUCGGCGUGAUGCAGGUGCAGCUCUCGCUGCCUCUUAGAUCGAGCUCUGCUCGCUCUCCCGAUCUGGAGGCUUCGCAUGGUGCGGCGGCCUCUGUUCCGUGGUCAGGCUGCGAGUGCUCUUGCUGGUGUGUUGGUUUGGCUAGCAGGCUGCAGGUUGGGGGUUGUGACACUGCCGGCGUAAAGCCGGGCUCCGGUUUCGGUUGGAGCCAACGACGGCGGUGCCUGUGGGCGCCGUAUCCUUGCUGAAGGCGUCGUGCUGCUGGUGUUCGUCUUCCCUCCUAAAUUUCUCCAAAGGAAACUUUGGAUCUUGGGUCUCCCGGAUCGGGCGAUGGUGGCGCUCAACGUCACACUCUCACUUGGGGCUUCGUCUUUGAGCUUGCCUUGGCUAGGGUGACUAGUGGCUUGAGGUGGUCCCGUUGGCGGUUCGUGUGGGCGUUAGCAGUGGAGAGGUGGUGCUCUGUCUUCGUGAUCUUGGCUCGGCCAUGCCUUUGGCCGCGUUGAGGUGUUUGUGUUGGCGGUUGGAUGGUGGUGGUGCGGCCGGGUUGGGGUCGACGGUGGUUUGAGAUCUUCUUCGGGGGUGUUCUUCUUGUGUUCUUGCUCCUACACUCCUGAGUGUGUUCUCUGCUAGGUGAUGCCAAGCGACAGCGGCGGUGGCGCACAGGUGCUGUGGCGCUGUCUCGGCCUCGCGUGACCUUUCGAAUGUGCCCCACGGCACAGGUGGUGUCGCGGCGUUGUGCAGUCUCGGAUGCGCGGAGCCUUUCGAUUGCGUCGACGGUGCAGUGUCAUGGUCUUGUUUGCUUGGCGAUGCUGACUUCGCCUGUGGCAGAUAGGCACCGUGGCGUUGUCUCGGCCUCGCGUGACCUUUCGAAUGCACCCCCGGCACAGGUGGUGUUGUGGCGUUGUGCACUCCCGGAUGCGUGAAGCCUUUCGAUUGCGUCGAUGGUGCAGUGUCUUGGCUUGGUCGGCUGGCCAAUGCCGUUCGAUCACAUUGGUGGUGCUUUGUGUUCUGCUGGGAUGUGUCUUCCCUCUCUGUUCUCCCCUGUUUGUAUGUUUGGAGUAUUCUGUUUUUGCUUUAUCACUUCUUCCGUGCCCCCCUGUAAUUCUGGUUCAUUUGAACCCAUCUUGCAAAAAGGCUGCAAAGCCUUAUAGGCAAAUGAAUAUAAUUCAGGUGGUGGAGGGGCCCCCCCUCCUCCCCCGGUGAAAAUUCAAAAAAAAAUCUAGAAAAAGAAAAAGAAGAGAAGCAAUUACGUAUGCCCCAAUUGAUGAGAGAGAUAGGAUGAGAAAAGAGUAUUUUGACAACAAAAUAUGGAAGAAUGGCACAACUUGUGUGAACAUGCUUAGGCUUCGGAGAGAACCUUUCUUUAGGUUUUGUCAACUGUUUAGGGAUCGCAACUGCUAAAUGACACAAUACACUUGACCGUUGAGCAACAACUAGCAAUGUUCCUGCACACCGUUGGGCACAACAUUAAAAAUAGGGUAAUUGGCGCCAAUUUUGGUAGAUCUGGUGAAGUCGUGAAAUGUUACUUCAAAAGGGUACUCCAUGCCAUUGGUGAGCUUUGAGAUGACCUUAUUAGGAAGCCUUCAUUGGAGAUCCAAACCAAAAUAGAAGGAAACUACCGGUGGGAUCCAUACUUUAAGGAUUGUAUUGGAGCUAUCGAUGGCACACAUGUGCGAGCCUCUAUUACACCAGAUAUGGAGGCUGCCUUUCGUGGUAGAAAGACUUAUUCUACUCAAAAUGUUAUGGCGGCUGUAGAUUUUGACCUUCGAUUCACAUAUGUGUUGGCUGGUUGGGAGGGGACAGCACAUGAUGCUCUAGUUUUACGUGAUGCUUUAGAACGUGAGAAUGGUCUACGUGUCCCACAAGGAAAAGUUUAUCUAGUUGAUGCUGGAUAUGGAGCUAAACCGGGUUUUUUGCCUCCUUUUCGUGGCGUGAGGUAUCACUUGAAUGAGUGGGGAAACAACCCCGUGCAAAACGAGAAGGAGCUGUUCAACCUUAGGCAUUCUUCUCUUCGUGUGACCGUAGAAUGUGCAUUUGGCUCGUUGAAGAGAAGAUUCAAGAUACUUGAUGAUGCCACCAAAUUCUUCCUAUAUGCUCAAAUACUUGCUGAAAUUGUUUCUAUAUGCUCAAAUACUUGCUGAAAUUCUUCCUUUAUGUCAAAAUACUUACUGAAAUUACUUUUUUUGUUUCGACAAGGCUCAUCCAGAGGACGAACAGUACCUUAACAAGACUAUUAUUCAUUAUAAGGAGAUGGUGAAUAUAGCUGGAGGGAGCAUGGCUACAGGGCAAUAUGCAAAAGACUCAAGUGACCCUCUUGCUACAGAAGUGGUUAAUCUUGAAGAAGAGACAACCAAGAAACCCACUACCCCGCAUGAAGAGGUUGCACAGUCAACCAAUGCAGGUUCAUCCGGUCCCAAACCAAAAAAAAUCCAAACCAAAUCCUUCUGCGGAAGACAGGUUACACGCCACCAUACUUGCAUCUAGUGAAAGAAUUGCUAUUGUGAUAGAGAAGAGUUCUAGCACCGAGAACAAUGCCAUAGAUGGUCUUUGGGAGCGCAUGAAAGUACUCCCUGGGUUUAGUUUGGAUUACCUUGCUCAUUACUAUGCAUAUUUGGUUGACAAUCCUCGUGUUGCAAUGGCAUUCAAGGUGUUGGAAGAUGAUCAAAAGAAGGUUUGGGUUUCUAGAUAUGUCAAGAGUACCUUUCAUGAAGCGUGAGGGUGGUGGGUGCAUAUGUAGUGAACUGGUGAUUGACUUGUACUUUUGAUGCAACCAAAACAGUAACUAUGGGUUGUAUGGAUUAGCUCUUUUCACAACUGAGACCAUAACUAUGGGUUGUGUAACUAUUAAGUUCUAGUAGUACUCUAUGGAAU